GACGAACGCUGGCGGCGUGCUUAACACAUGCAAGUCGAACGGAAAGGCCCUGCUUUUGUGGGGUGCUCGAUUGGCGAACGGGUGAGUAACACGUGAGUAACCUGCCCUUGACUUUGGGAUAACUUCAGGAAACUGGGGCUAAUACCGGAUAGGAGCUCCUGCUGCAUGGUGGGCGUUGGAAAGUUUCGGCGGUUGGGGAUGGACUCGCGGCUUAUCAGCUUGUUGGUGGGGUAGUGGCUUACCAAGGCUUUGACGGGUAGCCGGCCUGAGAGGGUGACCGGCCACAUUGGGACUGAGAUACGGACCAGAAUCCUACGGGAGGCAGCAGUGGGGAAUAUUGCAGAAUGGGCGGAAGCCUGAUGCAGAAACGCCGCGUGCGGGAUGACGGCCUUCGGGUUGUAAACCGCUUUCGCCUGUGACGAAGAGUGAGUGACGGUAAUGGGUAAAGAAGCACCGGCUAACUACGUG
RNAcentral lists this ribosomal RNA (468 nucleotides) under uncultured bacterium. RNAcentral describes it as "partial 16S ribosomal RNA". It matches the Rfam family "Bacterial small subunit ribosomal RNA", at positions 28 to 507 of the family's 1533-position model. The record is from RNAcentral.